AGACAUAGGGGGCUAGCGUUGUCCGGAAUUACUGGGCGUAAAGAGCACGUAGGCGGGGAUUUAAGUCAGGUGUGAAAGACCGCAGCUUAACUGCGGGGUUGCACUUGAAACUGAAUUUCUUGAGGGCAGGAGAGGAAAGCAGAAUUCCUGGUGUAGCGGUGAAAUGCGUAGAAAUCAGGAGGAAUACCGGUGGCGAAGGCGGCUUUCUGGACUGACCCUGACGCUGAGGUGCGAAAGCGUGGGUAGCAAACAGGAUUAGAUACCCUGGUAGUCCACGCCGUAAACUAUGGAUACUAGGUGUAGGAGGUAUCGACCCCUUCGGUGCCGCAGCUAACGCAAUAAGUAUCCCGCCUGGGGAGUACGGUCGCAAGGCUGAA
This 377-nucleotide ribosomal RNA is filed under the name uncultured bacterium. RNAcentral describes it as "bacterial SSU rRNA". It matches the Rfam family "Bacterial small subunit ribosomal RNA", at positions 523 to 898 of the family's 1533-position model. The record is from RNAcentral.